GGAGAUUGAGCAGAACAGGUUACUGCAUCGGACUGUAAAUCCGACGCCCACGGCAUACGGGGUUCGAGUCCCUGAAUCUCCACCA
Molecule: transfer RNA, 85 nt
Filed under: Betaproteobacteria bacterium
Lineage: Bacteria; Pseudomonadati; Pseudomonadota; Betaproteobacteria
Description: tRNA-Tyr
Rfam family: tRNA
About the family: Transfer RNA (tRNA) molecules are approximately 80 nucleotides in length. Their secondary structure includes four short double-helical elements and three loops (D, anti-codon, and T loops).
Source: RNAcentral